Molecule: long non-coding RNA, 237 nt
Filed under: Lathyrus oleraceus (garden pea)
Lineage: Eukaryota; Viridiplantae; Streptophyta; Magnoliopsida; Fabales; Fabaceae
Description: Pisum sativum (pea) long non-coding RNA (PSAT_LNC022799)
Source: RNAcentral
UUAGACAAAAAAAUUCAUGAUUUUUAAAAAGUCAGAAGUAUUUUUAAACAAUUAAAAAUAUACACAAAAAUAUUUAAUUCAUGAAAAAUAUCAAAAUUAAUCCAAAGAAUAAUUUUAAUUCAGAAAAUGAAAGAGAAAAAUAUUUAAAGAUUUUUGGUGAAAGUCCCAUAUUUUUUUAUUAAAAAUUAAAUUAAUAUGAAUUAAACAAAAUAAAUGGAUUAAAUGAAAAAUCAGAAA